Molecule: microRNA, 24 nt
Filed under: Polistes canadensis
Lineage: Eukaryota; Metazoa; Arthropoda; Insecta; Hymenoptera; Vespidae
Description: pca-miR-11665-5p
Source: miRBase by way of RNAcentral
AGAUAAAUUUCAUUUCGAUGUGAU